RNAcentral lists this ribosomal RNA (599 nucleotides) under Sphingobacterium sp. Its description in RNAcentral is "bacterial SSU rRNA". It matches the Rfam family "Bacterial small subunit ribosomal RNA", at positions 131 to 728 of the family's 1533-position model. Lineage: Bacteria; Pseudomonadati; Bacteroidota; Sphingobacteriia; Sphingobacteriales; Sphingobacteriaceae. The record is from RNAcentral.
CAUAUCAGGGGGAUAGCCCGGAGAAAUCCGGAUUAACACCGCAUGACACAACGACUCGGCAUCGAGAUGUUGUUAAAUAUUUAUAGGAUAUGGAUGGGCUCGCGUGACAUUAGCUAGUUGGUAAGGUAACGGCUUACCAAGGCUACGAUGUCUAGGGGCUCUGAGAGGAGAAUCCCCCACACUGGUACUGAGACACGGACCAGACUCCUACGGGAGGCAGCAGUAAGGAAUAUUGGUCAAUGGAGGGAACUCUGAACCAGCCAUGCCGCGUGCAGGAUGACUGCCCUAUGGGUUGUAAACUGCUUUUGUCCAGGAAUAACCACCACUACGUGUAGUGGCUUGAAUGUACUGGAAGAAUAAGGAUCGGCUAACUCCGUGCCAGCAGCCGCGGUAAUACGGAGGAUCCGAGCGUUAUCCGGAUUUAUUGGGUUUAAAGGGUGCGUAGGCGGCUCAUUAAGUCAGGGGUGAAAGACGGCAGCUCAACUGUCGCAGUGCCUUUGAUACUGAUGAGCUUGAAUGUGGUUGAAGAUGGCGGAAUGAGACAAGUAGCGGUGAAAUGCAUAGAUAUGUCUCAGAACUCCGAUUGCGAAGGCAGCUGU